AUGGAUGAUGUUUACUCAACUCUGUUUAAUCCGCUCACAGGAAUAGAAUCUCCUGUGGGUAUUAACCACAAUCAUGGCACUGGCAAUGCCCACAAUGGUAUGGACCCAAUACCCCUCCCGCUCUUCUCUCUCCCCUGCCGAUGUUUGCCAUUAUGCCGGAGGACGUCGCCGCGUGGGAUGCUGAACGGAGGCACCGCCACCGGGAUCUGGAUGUUUCACAGGAAGCUUGUUCACCCAAUCAACCUGCACGUGGUCGUGAAGAUCGGUUCAGACGAAGUAGCGUCCUCGUCGGCGUUGCAGAGGAGGGCCUGA
This 312-nucleotide ribosomal RNA is filed under the name Triticum aestivum (bread wheat). RNAcentral's name for it is "partial small subunit ribosomal RNA". Lineage: Eukaryota; Viridiplantae; Streptophyta; Magnoliopsida; Poales; Poaceae. The record is from RNAcentral.